This 372-nucleotide ribosomal RNA is filed under the name uncultured organism. RNAcentral's name for it is "partial 16S ribosomal RNA". It matches the Rfam family "Bacterial small subunit ribosomal RNA", at positions 527 to 896 of the family's 1533-position model. The record is from RNAcentral.
GUAGGUGGCAAGCGUUGUCCGGAAUUAUUGGGCGUAAAGCGCGCGCAGGCGGUUCUUUAAGUCUGAUGUGAAAGCCCACGGCUCAACCGUGGAGGGUCAUUGGAAACUGGAGAACUUGAGUACAGAAGAGGAAAGCGGAAUUCCACGUGUAGCGGUGAAAUGCGUAGAGAUGUGGAGGAACACCAGUGGCGAAGGCGGCUUUCUGGUCUGUAACUGACGCUGAGGCGCGAAAGCGUGGGGAGCAAACAGGAUUAGAUACCCUGGUAGUCCACGCCGUAAACGAUGAGUGCUAAGCGUUAGGGGGUUUCCGCCCCCCUUAGUGCUGCAGCUAACGCAUUAAGCACUCCGCCUGGGAGUACGGCCGCAAGGCUG